RNAcentral lists this ribosomal RNA (792 nucleotides) under Triticum aestivum (bread wheat). RNAcentral describes it as "partial small subunit ribosomal RNA". The record is from RNAcentral. Lineage: Eukaryota; Viridiplantae; Streptophyta; Magnoliopsida; Poales; Poaceae.
AUGGCCGGAAACGACCGCCUGUCCGCUCUCUCCAACGAUCUCCUCCGGCGCGUUCUCUACUUCGCACCAGCCAAGGAGGCCGCGUCCACGGCCGCGCUCUCGAGCCGCUGGCGAGAGACGCCGCUCUGGCCCUCCUCGGGCGCCGUAAACCUCGAGAUGCGCGUCGGGAACUACGACUACUGCAGCUACGAAAGUCAAAGAAAGCUCAAAGAAGACAGGGCCCUCUUCUUCUCCCGCCGCGACGCCUUCCUCUCCGCGGCCGUGCAGGCGCUCCACGCCGCUGUGCAGGUCACCAGGCCGACCCUGCGCCUGGAGCCCGACUGCAAACACGACGACCCGUUCAGCCAAUUCAUGUGCUAUGAUGAGAACUGGGGGUGGCCGCAGGGCGACAACGCGAUCACCGUCUUGCUCUCCCGGCGCGCCGGGUCGAGGAGCUCAGGCUCGUGGCUAAUGGCUACCAAAGGAUACUAUCCCACCACAGCGAGAUCUCAGGUCACGUGGGCGCCUACACGCUCGCCCUGGAUUCUCUUCCGUGGGAGACCCUCCGUGUGCUGUUACCAGCUGCUCGGGCCUCUAUCAGCGGAAGAGAGCCGCGGUCGUGCUCCCACGCCUGACCUCGCUACGACUGGGGCAUUGCUCUCAGUGUUAGCCCAAAACUACGGACUAGCCAGUGCCAGACUAAGGAAAGGGCAGAAUAUCUGGACGAGGAACACUAGCACGAACACUACCAAAACACACACUCACGUACUAGUGAGGAGACACGGUGGUGUACUACUAGUGGAAGCUGAAUGA